AGAAUCAACGCUGGCGGCGUGCCUAACACAUGCAAGUCGAACGAGAAAGUGGAGCAAUCCAUGAGUAAAGUGGCGCACGGGUGAGUAACACGUGACUAACCUACCCUUGAGUGGGGGAUAACCUAGGGAAACCUGGCUAAUACCGCAUAAUACCUUCGGGUCAAAGGAGCAAUUCGCUUUAGGAGGGGUCGCGGCCGAUUAGUUAGUUGGCGGGGUAAUGGCCCACCAAGACUGUGAUCGGUA
This 243-nucleotide ribosomal RNA is filed under the name uncultured bacterium. RNAcentral's name for it is "partial small subunit ribosomal RNA". It matches the Rfam family "Bacterial small subunit ribosomal RNA", at positions 26 to 285 of the family's 1533-position model. The record is from RNAcentral.